AAUGGCUGCAGUAAUAUAACUGUACAAAGGUAGCAUAAUCAUUAGUUUUUUAAUUAAAAGCUUGUAUGAAAGGUUGGACGAAGUAAAAUCUGUCUCUUUUUAAUAUAAUUAGAAUUUAAUUUUUAAGUAAAAAAGCUUAAAUUUAUUUAAAAGACGAGAAGACCCUAUAGAGUUUAAUAAUUUAUUUUAAAUAAUUAAUUUAGAUUUAUUUAUUUUAUUUAUUUUGAAAUUAUUUUAUUGGGGUAAUAGAAAGAUUAAUAUAAUUCUUUUUUUUUAUUUACAUUAAUAUAUGAAUUAAAUGAUCCAUUUUUUAUGAUUAAAAGAUUAAAUUACCUUAGGGAUAACAGCGUAAUUUUUUUAAAGAGUUCAUAUCGAUAAAAAAGUUUGCGACCUCGAUGUUGGAUUAAAGAUUAAUUUAGGUGUAGAAGUUUAAAUUUUUGGUCUGUUCGACCAUUAAAUCUUUACAUGAUCUGAGUUCAAACCGGUGUAAGCCAGGUUGGUUUCUAUCUUUAAAAAAUUUUUAUAUUUUAGUACGAAAGGACCAAAUAUUUAAUAUAUUAAAUAUUUAAUUAUUUUGAAUAU
RNAcentral lists this ribosomal RNA (582 nucleotides) under Anophthalmus tolminensis. RNAcentral's name for it is "partial 16S ribosomal RNA". The stretch from base 340 to 498 matches the Rfam family "Bacterial large subunit ribosomal RNA", at positions 2473 to 2632 of the family's 2925-position model. Lineage: Eukaryota; Metazoa; Arthropoda; Insecta; Coleoptera; Carabidae. The record is from RNAcentral.